GCCCCUGUUGUCUAAUGGUUAUGACGUCAGACUUCUAUCCCAUAGCAUCGUAUCUGGAGGUUGCGGGUUCGAAUCCCGCCAGGGGUU
Psilocybe cubensis is the source of this 87-nucleotide non-coding RNA. Lineage: Eukaryota; Fungi; Basidiomycota; Agaricomycetes; Agaricales; Agrocybaceae. The record is from the annotation of a RefSeq genome assembly.